GGAUGUGAGGGUGAUCUGGCUAUGACAUCUCACCACACUGAUCACCAGGAUUGAUUCGGCUAGGCCAGCAGAUGUCCCCUUCCUCCCUCAACAAUCCAUAUAUAUCCCUCCUAAACUGUAUGGUUGGUCAAAGAGGAUGACCACUCCUGAUAGAAGACCAUUCCUCAGUCAAACAUAUACGAGUAGCUGUGCUCCCCUGCUAGAACCUCCAAACAAGCUCAUAUGAAAAACCCAAAUUAUAAAUGAAGAGCAAAAUAAAAGGAAGUAUGGAGAUACAUAUAUCUCAAAUG
Unclassified non-coding RNA from Cavia aperea (Brazilian guinea pig), 290 nucleotides. Its record names the gene 7SK. It matches the Rfam family "7SK RNA". Rfam says of the family: 7SK was discovered as an abundant small nuclear RNA in the mid-70s but a possible function has only recently been suggested. Two independent studies have found that 7SK RNA binds the CDK9/cyclin T complex (known as elongation factor P-TEFb). The record is from Ensembl. NCBI's taxonomy places the organism in Eukaryota, Metazoa, Chordata, Mammalia, Rodentia, Caviidae.